GACGAACGCUGGCGGCGUGCCUAACACAUGCAAGUCGAGCGAAUGAAAUUCCUUCGGGAAUGGAUUUAGCGGCGGACGGGUGAGUAACACGUGGGCAACCUGCCUCAUAGAGGGGAAUAGCCUUCCGAAAGGGAGAUUAAUACCGCAUAAGAUUGUAGUACCGCAUGGUACAGCAAUUAAAGGAGCAAUCCGCUAUGAGAUGGGCCCGCGGCGCAUUAGCUAGUUGGUGAGGUAACGGCUCACCAAGGCGACGAUGCGUAGCCGACCUGAGAGGGUGAUCGGCCACAUUGGGACUGAGACACGGCCCAGACUCCGACGGGAGGCAGCAGUGGGGAAUAUUGCACAAUGGGGGAAACCCUGAUGCAGCAACGCCGCGUGAGUGAUGACGGCCUUCGGGUUGUAAAGCUCUGUCUUCAGGGACGAUAAUGACGGUACCUGAGGAGGAAGCCACGGCUAACUACGUGCCAGCCGCCGCAGUAA
This 480-nucleotide ribosomal RNA is filed under the name uncultured bacterium. Its description in RNAcentral is "partial 16S ribosomal RNA". It matches the Rfam family "Bacterial small subunit ribosomal RNA", at positions 28 to 523 of the family's 1533-position model. The record is from RNAcentral.